This 110-nucleotide transfer RNA is filed under the name Promethearchaeota archaeon. RNAcentral describes it as "Candidatus Lokiarchaeota archaeon (permafrost metagenome) tRNA-Arg". The stretch from base 53 to 102 matches the Rfam family "tRNA", at positions 10 to 63 of the family's 71-position model. The record is from RNAcentral. Lineage: Archaea; Promethearchaeati; Promethearchaeota.
GGUCCUGUGAUCUAGCCUGGAUUUAUCUGUUUCACUACUUUCCGAAAUGGAUGCCUAUGGGUGCCCGCUUGCGAAGCGGGAGUUCGAGGGUUCGAAUCCCUCCAGGGCCA